UGGGUACUGCGGCAGGACAUUACUGAUUUGCUUAAUUGCACCACAUGUGUUUUUUAUUGAACAAAUUUCUUUGGUGGCGGGAGCAAUCCUACCGCCAGAGGUUAUAACUAAACCAAACUUUUUAUUUACAGUCAAACUUGAUUUAUUAUUACAAUAGUCAAAACUUUCAACAACGGAUCUCUUGGUUCUCGCAUCGAUGAAGAACGCAGCGAAAUGCGAUACGUAAUAUGAAUUGCAGAUAUUCGUGAAUCAUCGAAUCUUUGAACGCACAUUGCGCCCUUUGGUAUUCCAAAGGGCAUGCCUGUUUGAGCGACAUUUCUCCCUCAAACCCCCGGGUUUGGUGUUGAGCAAUACGCUAGGUUUGUUUGAAAGAAUUUAACGUGGAAACUUAUUUUAAGCGACUUAGGUUUAUCCAAAAACGCUUAUUUUGCUAGUGGCCACCACAAUUUAUUUCAUAACUUUGACCUCAAAUCAGGUAGGACUACCCGCUGAACUUAAGCAUAUCAAUAAGCGGAGGA
Molecule: ribosomal RNA, 518 nt
Filed under: Candida tropicalis
Lineage: Eukaryota; Fungi; Ascomycota; Pichiomycetes; Serinales; Debaryomycetaceae
Description: eukaryotic LSU rRNA
Rfam family: 5.8S ribosomal RNA (bases 162-315)
Source: RNAcentral